RNAcentral lists this ribosomal RNA (252 nucleotides) under uncultured bacterium. RNAcentral's name for it is "partial 16S ribosomal RNA". It matches the Rfam family "Bacterial small subunit ribosomal RNA", at positions 524 to 776 of the family's 1533-position model. The record is from RNAcentral.
UACGUAGGGGCAAGCGUUGUCCGGAUUUAUUGGGCGUAAAGCGCGUGUAGGCGGCCAGGUAGGUCCGUUGUGAAAACUCGAGGCUCAACCUCGAGACGUCGGCGGAAACCCUCUGGCUAGAGUCCGGAAGAGGAGAGUGGAAUUCCUGGUGUAGCGGUGAAAUGCGCAGAUAUCAGGAAGAACACCCGUGGCGAAGGCGGCUCUCUGGGACGGUACUGACGCUGAGACGCGAAAGCGUGGGGAGCAAACAGG